UUAAAAGCGAUGAUGAAGAGUAGUACACUUGUUCAAGGCUUUUCAGAGAGUUUGUGGUUGGUGAAAACAAACAGCCUGGCAAUUGGAAUGGACUUUUAAGCUUCUGGUUUGAACUUAAGUAGAUCCAGGCGUAUUCCUGCGUUAAAGGAAUCCAUGCUUCACUGAGGCAUGGGCAGAGUGACUCAUUCGUGAGUAAUUAGGGUGGCAACACGGACCAUUCGUCCCUAGA
RNAcentral lists this non-coding RNA (229 nucleotides) under Mesobacillus selenatarsenatis. Its description in RNAcentral is "Bacillus selenatarsenatis T-box sequence". It matches the Rfam family "T-box leader". From Rfam's summary of the family: Uncharged tRNA acts as the effector for transcription antitermination of genes in the T-box leader family. T-boxes are found upstream of many aminoacyl-tRNA synthetase genes and some amino acid biosynthetic genes usually in Gram-positive bacteria. Lineage: Bacteria; Bacillati; Bacillota; Bacilli; Caryophanales; Bacillaceae. The record is from RNAcentral.